AGCAAUACCUGAGACCGGCGCACGGGUGCGUAACGCGUAUGCAAUCUACCUUUUACAGGGGAAUAGCCCAGAGAAAUUUGGAUUAAUGCCCCAUGGUAUUAUAGGAUCGCAUGGUUUUAUAAUUAAAGUUCCAACGGUAAAAGAUGAGCAUGCGUCCCAUUAGUUAGUUGGCAAGGUAACGGCUUACCAAGACGAUGAUGGGUAGGGGUCCUGAGAGGGAGAUCCCCCACACUGGUACUGAGACACGGACCAGACUCCUACGGGAGGCAGCAGUGAGGAAUAUUGGACAAUGGGCGCAAGCCUGAUCCAGCCAUGCCGCGUGCAGGAAGACGGUCCUAUGGAUUGUAAACUGCUUUUGUACGGGAAGAAACACUCCUUCGUGAAGGAGCUUGACGGUACCGUAAGAAUAAGGAUCGGCUAACUCCGUGCCAGCAGCCGCGGUAAUACGGAGGAUCCAAGCGUUAUCCGGAAUCAUUGGGUUUAAAGGGUCCGUAGGCGGUUUUGUAAGUCAGUGGUGAAAUCUGGCCGCUCAACGAUCAAACGGCCAUUGAUACUGCAAGACUUGAAUUACUGGGAAGUAACUAGAAUAUGUAGUGUAG
This 599-nucleotide ribosomal RNA is filed under the name uncultured Bacteroidota bacterium. Its description in RNAcentral is "bacterial SSU rRNA". It matches the Rfam family "Bacterial small subunit ribosomal RNA", at positions 81 to 678 of the family's 1533-position model. The record is from RNAcentral. Lineage: Bacteria; Pseudomonadati; Bacteroidota.